RNAcentral lists this non-coding RNA (31 nucleotides) under Rattus norvegicus (Norway rat). The record is from RNAcentral. Lineage: Eukaryota; Metazoa; Chordata; Mammalia; Rodentia; Muridae.
UGUCUUUUUGAACGUGUUACCUCAGCAUCAG